GAGCCUGCGGCUUAAUUUGACUCAACACAGGAAACCUCACCCAGCCCGGACAUGGACAGGAUUGACAGAUUGAUAGCUCUUUCUCGAUUCUGUGGGUGGUAGCGCAUGGCCGUUCUUAGCUGAUGGAGCGAUUUGUCUCUCCAUAUAUAUAUAUAUAAUAUGUAUACAUAUAGAAAAAUUUAUAUAUGCAUAUGUAAGCAUAUAUAAUCUCUUAGUAUUUCCUAUAAACUUUUGUUAGAAGUAUGAUAUAUCACAGGUAAUGGAAACUGAAGGAAAUAAGAUUUCAGUGUCAGUUUAUGUUAAUCUGACUAGCGUGUGCUA
Molecule: non-coding RNA, 321 nt
Filed under: Oryctolagus cuniculus (rabbit)
Lineage: Eukaryota; Metazoa; Chordata; Mammalia; Lagomorpha; Leporidae
Description: Eukaryotic small subunit ribosomal RNA
Rfam family: Eukaryotic small subunit ribosomal RNA
Source: Rfam by way of RNAcentral